Molecule: ribosomal RNA, 602 nt
Filed under: uncultured bacterium
Lineage: Bacteria
Description: bacterial SSU rRNA
Rfam family: Bacterial small subunit ribosomal RNA
Source: RNAcentral
AAUGAACGUUGGCGGCAUGGAUUAGGCAUGCAAGUCGUACGCUUAGCGUAGCAAUACGCGAGGAGUGGCGAAAGGGAGAGGAAUACGUGGGAACCUACCUUCGGGCCUGGAAUAGCGGCGGGAAACUGCCGGUAAUGCCAGAUAACGUCCCCGGACCAAAGGUGUGAUUCCGCCUGGAGAUGGGCCCACGUCCUAUCAGCUUGUUGGUGUGGUAACGGCGCACCAAGGCUAAGACGGGUAUGGGGUGUGAGAGCAUGCCCCCACUCACUGGGACUGAGACACUGCCCAGACACCUACGGGUGGCUGCAGUCGAGAAUCUUCGGCAAUGAGCGCAAGCUUGACCGAGCGAUGCCGCGUGCGGGAUGAAGGCCCUCGGGUUGUAAACCGCUGUCGUAGGGGAGUAAUGGCCAGGGGGUUCUCCCUCUGGUAUGAACAAUCCUAGGAGGAAGGACGGGCUAAGUUCGUGCCAGCAGCCGCGGUAAGACGAACCGUCCAAACGUUAUACGGAAUCACUGGGCUUACAGAGUGCGUAGGCGGUCCCAAAAGUUAGGUGUGAAAUCCCUCGGCUCACCCGAGGAACUGCGCUAAAACCUGUGGGACUC